This is a long non-coding RNA of Drosophila sulfurigaster albostrigata, 1035 nucleotides long. RefSeq lists it as uncharacterized. The transcript is spliced from 2 exons. Lineage: Eukaryota; Metazoa; Arthropoda; Insecta; Diptera; Drosophilidae. The record is from RefSeq and is a predicted model, not a curated record.
CGCGACGAUAAUGGUGCUCAGGUGGCGCCAUCGGUCCCGCUACCAUGGCCAGUGCCUUCUUGUAGGGAAAGACGAGAUCGCCGUCGGGCGAGGGACCGAGUGUGAUGGGACCACAGAGCGGACCAUGCGCAAAUUCAUUCAUCUGAUCCGCCGAGGAGAUGACACGCACAGCUCGGGGAAUGUUGUCGCAGAAGCAAGCUAAAUUGUUCUGGAACUUGUCGCGCUCCUCCCAAAUCACCAGCUUGUCCACACGCUCCUCGUGACAGCGAGUGCACGCAUUGCUGUUGUACGGCAACUCCUUGAACGAGACCGAGUUCACCUCAAUGAUGGCCCUGGCAUACAAACGUCGAUCCGUCACGAACUUGUACUGACAACGUACAUCGCUUCCGCCGGUUCGUUUGAAGAUCAGGGAGUUGAGGGGCGAUCGAAGGCGACCGCCAGGAUGCUUCCAGGCGUACAUGACUUCGUCGCAAAGGGUGUUGGGCACGGGGUCGCCGAACCGGGUGUUGUUGAAGAAGUCAUAGUGCGCCCAGUAGUACAGUGAGCUGCCGCUAUAGCUGCCAGUCUUCGAGUCGAAUUGCACGUAGAGCGAGGGACUUGUGCUGACGAAGUCCACCUUCUCCAUGGGUCGCGAGAAGGUGUCGCAGAAGGUCUUGAUGAUGCGGGCCGGGUCCGCGUGAUCCGAGUCGUAGAUUGUCAACGAUUCCCCGCAAUCGCCUUCAUAUUUCAGUAUAGGCGAUUCGAUGCGAUUGAUGCGAAAACUGCCAAAGAGAAAUAGAGAGAGAGAGCAAACGAUGAGCGGCGAACUAAAGAUAUGUCGAUGUAAAGAUGAUAUUUCACACAGCCAAAGUCAUAAAGUGCGGGAACCCCACAAAACCCACAAAGACCUUUGGCUUUAUGCCAAGCCAACCAACCACAAUUUGGCCAGCUUUCUCCACCCUAACCCGACCCAAUAGCCGACUCCUGAUGUCAUCAACUUUGGCGUGCUGCGUCGUGGCGCAGUUUAAUAUAAAUUCCAACUGGUAACAGGUAAAA